Molecule: ribosomal RNA, 459 nt
Filed under: uncultured bacterium
Lineage: Bacteria
Description: partial 16S ribosomal RNA
Rfam family: Bacterial small subunit ribosomal RNA
Source: RNAcentral
CCUACGUGCGGCAGCAGUGAGGAAUAUUGGUCAAUGGGCGCGAGCCUGAACCAGCCAAGUAGCGUGAAGGAUGACUGCCCUACGGGUUGUAAACUUCUUUUAUAAAGGAAUAAAGUGAGGCACGUGUGCCUUUUUGUAUGUACUUUAUGAAUAAAGAUUGGCUAACCUCGUGCCAGCAGCCGCGGUAAUUCGGGGGAUUCGAACGUUAUCCGGAGUUUUUGGGUUUAAAGGGAGCGUAGAUGGGUUUUUAAGUUAGUUGUGAACGUGUGGGGCUCAACCGUAAAAUUGCAAUUGAUACGGGCAGUCUGAGGUACAGUGGAGGAAGGCGGAAGUCGUGGUGAAGCGUUGAAAUGCUUAGAUAUCACGAAGAACUCCGAUUGCGAGGGCAGCUUACUAAACUGCCACUGACAUUGAUGCUCGAAAGUUUGGGUAUCAAACAGGAUUAGAUACCCUGGUAGU